This 465-nucleotide ribosomal RNA is filed under the name Vreelandella stevensii. RNAcentral describes it as "partial 16S ribosomal RNA". It matches the Rfam family "Bacterial small subunit ribosomal RNA", at positions 338 to 795 of the family's 1533-position model. Lineage: Bacteria; Pseudomonadati; Pseudomonadota; Gammaproteobacteria; Oceanospirillales; Halomonadaceae. The record is from RNAcentral.
CCUACGGUGGGCUGCAGUGGGGAAUAUUGGACAAUGGGCGAAAGCCUGAUCCAGCCAUGCCGCGUGUGUGAAGAAGGCCUUCGGGUUGUAAAGCACUUUCAGUGGGGAAGAAAGCCUUGGGGCUAAUACCCUCGAGGAAGGACAUCACCCACAGAAGAAGCACCGGCUAACUCCGUGCCAGCAGCCGCGGUAAUACGGAGGGUGCGAGCGUUAAUCGGAAUUACUGGGCGUAAAGCGCGCGUAGGCGGUCUGAUAAGCCGGUUGUGAAAGCCCCGGGCUCAACCUGGGAACGGCAUCCGGAACUGUCAGGCUAGAGUGCAGGAGAGGAAGGUAGAAUUCCCGGUGUAGCGGUGAAAUGCGUAGAGAUCGGGAGGAAUACCAGUGGCGAAGGCGGCCUUCUGGACUGACACUGACGCUGAGGUGCGAAAGCGUGGGUAGCAAACAGGAUUAGUUACCCUAGUAGUC